This 260-nucleotide long non-coding RNA is filed under the name Elaeis guineensis (African oil palm). RNAcentral describes it as "long non-coding RNA (EGUI_LNC040655)". The record is from RNAcentral. Lineage: Eukaryota; Viridiplantae; Streptophyta; Magnoliopsida; Arecales; Arecaceae.
UAUAAGUAUGUACCAAAGAUCGAUCCUGACUAGUUAGGCCCGGAAGGAUUAAUCUUGUUAGCGAUCAACCUCGAUUAACUAGGUUUAAGAGAAACUAGUUUCUAAUGUUUGGCCAAUGAUCAAUCCCAUUGCUUAAACCCAGAUCAUAGUCUAACUAGAGAGCUUUUCUCAUAAUUUCAUCAUAACUAAUUUCUCAUAAAUAAUUAUACUUAUUUUUAUAAUAAUAUCAUAUCAAAAUUUUUGCAUCUUAUUUUUAGAAA